GAACGCGAGGCGAGGCAGAGGAAAGGGUGCGUGUACGCAUCCGUCCUGAAUGAAUGUGUACGCGCCAACACCCUCGCGGAACAUGCGAGACACGCCAAGUUCAGGUUGGACACGGAGAGACGAGUAGUUGGAACAACGAGAGAUCGACGAGAGAUGGAAAAUGUGUCCAAACACGGAGGCCAGAGGACCUUUGGAAGCUUUGUUUAGAGAUUGUUAUUGUGUAAUAUAUAAAUCACACUGUUUCGAAAGUUCGUGGCAGAAUCGCCUAAAA
This is a long non-coding RNA of Megalopta genalis, 271 nucleotides long. RefSeq lists it as uncharacterized. The record is from RefSeq and is a predicted model, not a curated record. NCBI's taxonomy places the organism in Eukaryota, Metazoa, Arthropoda, Insecta, Hymenoptera, Halictidae.